RNAcentral lists this ribosomal RNA (116 nucleotides) under Fusarium pseudograminearum CS5834. The record is from RNAcentral. Lineage: Eukaryota; Fungi; Ascomycota; Sordariomycetes; Hypocreales; Nectriaceae.
ACGACCAUACCUGCGAGAAAAUACGGGAUCCCGUCCGCUCUCCCAUCGCCAAGCUCGCAAGGGGUGGAUUAGUAGUUGGGUCGGUGACGACCAGCGAAUACCCGCUGUUGUAUGUU